GUACUUUUAAUAAUAAUUAUUAUUUUAAUAAAAAAAUAUUAAUAAUUUAUAAGGAUUAUUAUAUUAUUUUUUAUUCCUUUCAAAUUUUGCUGGUGACUGCUCUUGCAGCAAUGGGAACAAUAACUGUUGGUGCUGUUGUUAAAAAUUAUUUAUCAUGGAAAACAAAGCAAAAGAAAGACACCAGUUCGCUUGGAAGAUCCAACAGCCAAGAAUCAAUUGCCUUUAAUUGAAAAAGAGAUAUUAGUUCAUAUACAAGAAGAUUUAGAUUUGGUUUACGAACACCAGAACAUGUAUCUGGUUUACCACUUGGUCAGCAUGUUCAUUUGAUAGCCACAACUAAUGAUGAAAUUGUUAUCCGACCAUAUACAUUAUAUUUUUAAUCCUUAAAAUGUGAUUAAAUUAGUAAAAUAAAUAAUUUGUUUAAACAGGAUACGACAAGAUCAACAACAGUUAGUCCAAGUAUAAUAAUUGACAAAUGCAAAGAAGACACACUACCAUCAGUACCAAGAAAAUGCACAUGAACUUUGACAUAAUCUUCUUGAGGGUAUAAAACGUGCAUAUUUAAAUGAAGCAAGUUAACUUGAUAGAAACAACACCGAUUAAUCAAAUAUUUGGUGGUUACAUAGGUACUAAAGUUGGAUGAUGUCGUCAUUGUCGUCAUAUACCUAUAUUUAAACAGCAUUUUUACAUUUUUAAGAUUUACUUUUUGAUAUUAUAAAAGCAAGUACACUUGAUGAAGCAUCAUAAAAUUAUUUUAGUCGUCAACAACUUGAUAAUAAUGAUUAUAAAUAAGGAUUCUGUCAAAGAUGUGUACCACUAACCAAAAAAUUUAGUUUAUAACAAACACCCAAAGUUUUAUGUGUGCAAGUAACAUGUUUUGUACUUGGUGGUAACAUAUCAUGUUGUAUUGAAUUUAAACAAACAAUUAAUAUGGGACAAUAUUUAUAGCGUGAAAAUAAUGAAAAAACACUUAAAUUAAAUUAUAAAUUAAUGUCAAUUGUAGCACAUGGGACUAUCUCUUAAUUGUGGUCAUUAUAUUGCUGCUGCACAAGUAAAAGCUAGACAAUAUUAUACAUUUGAUGAUUUAUCAGUACGCUCAAUUAAUUUUUCAAAUAUGAACACAAAUCCAUAUACCUAUUAUAAUAUAUUUGAAAUAGAAAAAUCAUCACAUGAUCAAUUAAUAAAUAAUCCGAACCAAUGAUGAUCAAUUACAACAACAACAGCACCAACAGUUAAGAUAUUAAUACAGCUUUUAUCAAUUUAUCUAAUAAUUGUUAAUAAUAAAUAAUAAAUAAAUCAUAAUAUA
This 1306-nucleotide long non-coding RNA is filed under the name Aphidius gifuensis. RNAcentral's name for it is "uncharacterized LOC122849188, transcript variant X2". Lineage: Eukaryota; Metazoa; Arthropoda; Insecta; Hymenoptera; Braconidae. The record is from RNAcentral.